Molecule: long non-coding RNA, 425 nt
Organism: Dioscorea cayenensis subsp. rotundata (Guinea yam)
Lineage: Eukaryota; Viridiplantae; Streptophyta; Magnoliopsida; Dioscoreales; Dioscoreaceae
Exons: 3
Source: RefSeq, a predicted model, not a curated record
CUGCGCCGCCUAUUUCUCCGAUAGGCUCUAGCAAUUGUUGAUAGCAAGAUCUUGUUCAUCAGCAAGCUUCUGGGUUCGGAGGUGUUGAAGCUUGCGAUUCCAAGAUCUUGAUCAUCAGCAAGAAGGUCCUGGUGUUUGAAUUCGUAAAAUCUUUAUGAUCGGAGCCUCUCGCCUUGAUUUGAAGAAGAUCUUGAUGAUUUGAAGAGAGGGGUUGGGUUGGGUUGGGUUGGGUUGUGGAGAUCUGUAGUUUCCCCCUCCCCUCACAACCUGCUGCUGAAGUAAGUUUCUUUUCAUUAUCCGGCGGAAGAAUAUAUCACAACCUAUGGACACCACCACCUCUCGUAAUUAUUGGCAUGAUAGGGUCUUGAAUGAUUUUGCGGUGAUGAAGACGAGUUAUGACAGUUUAUUUGAUUCUAUGAUGAUGA